RNAcentral lists this ribosomal RNA (424 nucleotides) under Verrucomicrobiota bacterium. RNAcentral's name for it is "Verrucomicrobia bacterium partial 16S ribosomal RNA". It matches the Rfam family "Bacterial small subunit ribosomal RNA", at positions 355 to 776 of the family's 1533-position model. Lineage: Bacteria; Pseudomonadati; Verrucomicrobiota. The record is from RNAcentral.
UGAGGAAUAUUGGUCAAUGGACGCAAGUCUGAACCAGCCAAGUAGCGUGCAGGAUGACGGCCCUAUGGGUUGUAAACUGCUUUUAUAUGGGGAUAAAGUGGGGAACGUGUUCCCUUUUGCAGGUACCAUAUGAAUAAGGAGCGGCUAAUUCCGUGCCAGCAGCCGCGGUAAUACGGAAGGUUCGGGCGUUAUCCGGAUUUAUUGGGUUUAAAGGGAGCGUAGGCUGUUUGUUAAGCGUGUUGUGAAAUGUAAGAGCUCAACUUUUAGAUUGCAGCGCGAACUGGCAGACUUGAGUGCGCACAACGUAGGCGGAAUUCAUGGUGUAGCGGUGAAAUGCUUAGAUAUCAUGACGAACUCCGAUUGCGAAGGCAGCUUACGGGAGCGCAACUGACGCUAAAGCUCGAAGGUGCGGGUAUCGAACAGG